Molecule: ribosomal RNA, 253 nt
Filed under: uncultured bacterium
Lineage: Bacteria
Description: partial 16S ribosomal RNA
Rfam family: Bacterial small subunit ribosomal RNA
Source: RNAcentral
UACAGAGGGGGCAAGCGUUGUUCGGAAUUACUGAGCGUAAAGGGCGCGUAGGCGGCCUUCUAAGUCAGACGUGAAAUCCCCGGGCUCAACCCGGGAACUGCGUCUGAUACUGGAGGGCUUGAAUCCGGGAGAGGGAUGUGGAAUUCCAGGUGUAGCGGUGAAAUGCGUAGAUAUCUGGAGGAACACCGGUGGCGAAGGCGGCAUCCUGGACCGGUAUCGACGCUGAGGCGCGAAAGCCAGGGGAGCAAACGGG